AACGAACGCUGGCGGCAUGCCUAACACAUGCAAGUCGAACGAACCCUUCGGGGUUAGUGGCGCACGGGUGCGUAACGCGUGGGAAUCUGCCCUUGGCUUCGGAAUAACAGUUAGAAACGACUGCUAAUACCGGAUGAUGUCGCAAGACCAAAGAUUUAUCGGCCAGGGAUGAGCCCGCGUAGGAUUAGGUAGGUGGUGGGGUAAAGGCCUACCAAGCCGACGAUCCUUAGCUGGUCUGAGAGGAUGAUCAGCCACACUGGGACUGAGACACGGCCCAGACUCCUACGGGAGGCAGCAGUGGGGAAUAUUGGACAAUGGGGGCAACCCUGAUCCAGCAAUGCCGCGUGAGUGAUGAAGGCCUUAGGGUUGUAAAGCUCUUUUACCCGGGAUGAUAAUGACAGUACCGGGAGAAUAAGCUCCGGCUAACUCCGUGCCAGCAGCCGCCGUAA
RNAcentral lists this ribosomal RNA (449 nucleotides) under uncultured bacterium. Its description in RNAcentral is "partial 16S ribosomal RNA". It matches the Rfam family "Bacterial small subunit ribosomal RNA", at positions 29 to 523 of the family's 1533-position model. The record is from RNAcentral.